GACGAACGCUGGCGGCGUGCUUAACACAUGCAAGUCGAACGGCGAUGCUCUAGCUUGCUGGUGUGGAUCAGUGGCGAACGGGUGAGUAACACGUGAGCAACCUGCCCUAGACUUUGGUAUAAGCUCAGGAAACGGCGGCUAAUACUGGAUACGAAACUGGCCACCUUGGGCAGGGUUGGGAAUGUUGUUCGGUUGGGGAUGGGCUCGCGGCCUAUCAGCUUGUUGGUGGGGUAGUGGCUUACCAAGGCGACGACGGGUAGCCGGCCUGAGAGGGGGACCGGCCACACUGGGACUGAGAGACGGCGCAGACUCCUACGGGAGGCAGCAGUGGGGAAUAUUGCACAAUGAGCGAAAGCCUGAUGCAGCGACGCCGCGUGAGGAAUGACGGCCUGCGGGUUGUAAACCUCUUUCAGCAGGGAAGAAGCGAAAGUGACGGUACCUGAAGAAGAAGCACCGGCUAACUACGUG
RNAcentral lists this ribosomal RNA (468 nucleotides) under uncultured bacterium. Its description in RNAcentral is "partial 16S ribosomal RNA". It matches the Rfam family "Bacterial small subunit ribosomal RNA", at positions 28 to 507 of the family's 1533-position model. The record is from RNAcentral.